RNAcentral lists this unclassified non-coding RNA (394 nucleotides) under fungal sp. Its description in RNAcentral is "partial internal transcribed spacer region". The stretch from base 1 to 46 matches the Rfam family "Eukaryotic small subunit ribosomal RNA", at positions 1786 to 1831 of the family's 1831-position model. The record is from RNAcentral. Lineage: Eukaryota; Fungi.
AAGUCGUAACAAGGUUUCCGUAGGUGAACCUGCGGAAGGAUCAUUAACACUUAAAAUAAAAAUAAUUUCCCUUUUGAAUCCCUCUCUUUUCUUUCUCCUCUCUUCGGAGGGAGGAAGUCAAGAGAUUUUCAAAUUUAAUUUGAACAAAAAUGUGUAACCUUACUUUUUUACUUAUGGAUUUGAGGGCAAGAAAAGAGGGAGUUUUCUCUCUCUCUUCGUGGUCCUCAGAUUUUCUCAUAAACCAGUUAAACCCAAAAACAAAAUAUGGCGUAUCAGAGGUCUUGUCUUUGACUUGCCCUCUUGAUCCCCCAUAGUUAAACCAAAAACAAAAAACCAAAAACUAAAAAAAACAAAAUAAAACACAACUCUUAACAAUGGAUAUCUUGGUUCUCGC